GGGGGUUUGGGGUGGGAAAUGCAGCCACAUUUGGGCCGCAGAGACUGCCCAAGCCAUCUGCUCCUGGGAGGUGGAGCACACUGCCUAACGUUUUACUACUUUCCCAAAGGCAGUGCCCAAGCAAAAUCAACCCCAGUGUGGAGCCUCCUUGUUCCCAGGUGACUAACAGGACACCACCACCCCACCUUCCUAAGGAGAGAAGAAAACCAGCAGAGUCCCCGAACAAAAGAACUUGGAGGGAAGGGAUAUACAUGCAAUAUUCAUGCUUCUUUAGAGGAAACAAUAUAACAACCUUCUUGCAGACCUUGCUUAGGAAUAAUGGUCAUUAAUAUAUUAAUCUGUGUCCCCAUUAGAAGGAGAAAAACAGAAGGUGUGGUGGCUCACCCGUAAUCCCAGCACUUUGGGAGGCCAAGGCAGGAGGAUCUGUUGAACCCAAGAGUUUGAGACCAGGCUGGGCAACAUAGCAAGACCUUUCCUCUACUCAAAGUUUAAAAAAAAAAAAAAAGUAGCCAGGUGUGGUGGUGCACACCUACAGGCCCAGCUACUUGGGAGGCUGAAGUGGGAGGAUUGCUUGAGCCCAGGAGUUCAAGGCUGCAGUGAGCUGUGAUCGCACCACUAUGCUCCAGCCUGGAUGACAGAGCAAGACUGUGUCGCAAAAAAAAAAAAAAAGGAAGGAAAAAGUCAUGCGGUGUUCUGGGCCCCCAUAGGAGCAGGUUCACCCAAGUUCUUGCAAACCAAGAGUGCUUAAUCAUAACAGGACUGGCAAUGGUAUGGGCUUUCCGGCUGGGGCUGGAGGGGCAUCCGCCUCAUGGGAUGGGACGGCAAUGGGACCAUGAUCAGGGACCAAACCUGGCUUUCUCUUUGCAGUCUACUUGCCCUCUCACUACAUUUCUGUCCCGUGACCUUCCUUCAGGUCUCACCUGGAAGUGUCACACUCGCCAUUCCCUAUCAUAUUGUUUUUUGUUUUGUUUUGUUUUUUGAGACAGAGUUUCACUCUUGUCACCCAGGCUGGAGUGCAAUGGCGCAAUCUUGGCUCACUGCAACCUCCACCUCCCAGGCUCGAGCGAUUCUUGUACCUCAGCCUCCUGAGUAGCUGGGAUUACAGGUGUGUACUGCCAGCUAACUUUUGUAUUUUUUAUGGAGACAGGGUUUCACCAUGUUGGCCAGGCUGGUCUCGAACUCCUGACCUCAGGUGAUCCGCCCGCCUUGGCCUCCCAAAGUGCUGGGAUUACAGGCAUGAGCCACCGUGCCCAGCCCCGUCAUACUGUUUUAACCACGCCAAACAUGAUCCAGCUGCCUCACCCUCUCAUACCUGCAAACACUCCCUCAUCUAAGGUGAGUUUCUGAGUCCAAGAUUACCAUCACGGGGGCACGCUUCUCCAAGUCCUUGGUCUUCAAUGUCCAUUCCUUCUCUCAUUCAGUAUUAUUUGGGCCACAUGAGAUUCUUCAGCGUCUUGCAACUCACGCUUCCUAAUCAAUGGCUCUCAAAUUUUAAUGACCUUAAUGAUUCACCAGGGAGCUUGUCGAAAGACAGAUUCCUCAGCUUCACUCCCUAAAAGUCAAACUCAGCAGGAAUCAGCAUCCUGAGAAAUCCAUUCUGAGGAAAUAAUCCGCAUGCUCCACCCUGAGAAAUGGCCGGGCUUUGCACCUUACCUGCUGCGUGAAACUUGGCCUCCAAUACUUCUACAGUAUAGUACAGAAUAGUGAACUUCAGUUUUCAUUGCAUACCCCUCAAUAAAAAUGUUAAUAUGUGACCAGGUGCAGUGGCUCAUGCCUGUAAUCCCAGUACUUUGGGAGGCUGAGGUGAUCGGAUCACUUGAGGUGAGAAGUUCGUGACUAGCCUGACCAACA
Molecule: long non-coding RNA, 1851 nt
Filed under: Homo sapiens (human)
Lineage: Eukaryota; Metazoa; Chordata; Mammalia; Primates; Hominidae
Description: HSALNT0097810
Source: RNAcentral